ACCCAAAUAUGACAACGCAGACCAGGUGGGGAAAAUGAAAUCUAGUUCAGGCUGGUGGCCCAAGGUCCCCCUUGUUACACUGGCCAGCAGCAAGGUAACACUGGCCUUGGCUCACAAGGCACAUAAACCACACAAGAUGCUGCAGUCAACACCGCUGAGGGUUGGGGGCUCCAGCUAUCUGUAAUUGGGAAGUGAAGAGGAUGUGACUGCCAGGUAAUGCUAACCCCGAAUCCUUGGUGCCUGUGUUAUGCACCAUAUGCUGAAUUUCGGUUCCAGCUGUGUGCUAGGCUGGGUCUGAUCUGGCAAAGAGGAACUGGCUCCACAGCUCUGGGCAGAAUCCACUGCUGCUCCCACACAGGGAGGACCAGGGGAACCGCAGCCCCACUCUGAGUGGAAACCCUUGACACGUGUUACACACAAACAACACUUGGGGUGGAACAAGAGCUUUACAAUGAUCUGUCUGGGACCCAUAAUACAAUUCAGCAUCUCUUUAGAGCUUCAGUCUAUCAAACAUUUUCAGACUAUUUCACUUAACCUUAACAGUUAUUGAAAUGCUUGAGGGGGGGAAAAAACCUCCACAUUUGAGAUUUCCAUAGCAGAAGCAUCACCAGCAGCCUCAACAGCCAUUCAAAAAGAUAUUGUCUGCAGGCUUGUUACCUCUUAUUGUCCCUCCAUUGUAUUAUAGAACUCUUAUUCUUAGAGAGAUUGCCUGGAAAGAGGUAAAGUAUGCAUAGACAUGGUCAGCCCCAUUUGCAGCUGAGGAAAUGAGACUCAGAGUGGCAAAGUGACUUUUUCAGAAUCAUAGCAGUAAAUGGUAGCAUUAGGAAGCUAAGCCUGAUCAUCCUGUUCUUGUCCUGUUGAGGAGAUAGUGAGAGCAAAGGAAAGUGGCAACAAUGAAGGAAUAAAACCCAGCUCAUCCCCCUGUUCCUCAUGCCCAACCCUUGCCAAGACUUCAGGUAACAGAAGGAAGAGAACACAUGGAUGGGCACAUGCUGGGCCCGGAAGAGCUGUGCAUGUCCCACAGACCACGAGUGUGGAGCCCAUGGCCGUGUGAAGGGGGUGGGGUCCCAGUCCUAGAAGCAGGAUCAUGGAAGUGGCCUUGGAGGACCUGACGAGGA
Molecule: long non-coding RNA, 1118 nt
Filed under: Pan troglodytes (chimpanzee)
Lineage: Eukaryota; Metazoa; Chordata; Mammalia; Primates; Hominidae
Description: lincRNA
Source: RNAcentral